RNAcentral lists this ribosomal RNA (443 nucleotides) under uncultured bacterium. Its description in RNAcentral is "partial 16S ribosomal RNA". It matches the Rfam family "Bacterial small subunit ribosomal RNA", at positions 338 to 795 of the family's 1533-position model. The record is from RNAcentral.
CCUACGGGAGGCUGCAGUGGGGAAUAUUGGGCAAUGGAGGCAACUCUGACCCAGCAACGCCGCGUGAAUGAUGAAGGUCUUCGGAUUGUAAAGUUCUGUGAUGGGGGAUGAACACAAUGACGGUAACCCAAUAGCAAGCCACGGCUAACUACGUGCCAGCAGCCGCGGUAAUACGUAGGUGGCAAGCGUUAUCCGGAAUGACUGGGCGUAAGGGGUGCGUAGGGGGGUUGGUAAGUUGGCGGUGAAAUUCCGGGGCUCAACCGCGGCGCUACCGCCAAACAUAGUAGACUAGAGUGCAGGAGAGGUAAGUGGAAUUCCUGGUGUAGCGGUGGAAUGCGUAGAUAUUAGGAGGAACAUCAGGGGCGAAGGCGACUUACUGGACUGUAACUGACACUGAGGCACGAAAGCGUGGGGAGCAAACAGGAUUAGAUACCCGAGUAGUC